This 90-nucleotide transfer RNA is filed under the name Streptomyces caelestis. RNAcentral describes it as "tRNA-Arg". The record is from RNAcentral. Lineage: Bacteria; Bacillati; Actinomycetota; Actinomycetes; Kitasatosporales; Streptomycetaceae.
GCGCGGUCGAGCGCCAGGACCGGGCCGCACCCGGCCUUCCGGCGGCCGGGUAGGGGAAUGUCCUGACUGUUGGACCCGGCCCGCCCCGCU